UGGCGGCGCGCCUAACAAUGCAAGUCGAACGAGAAAGUCCGCAAGGAUGAGUAAAGUGGCGUACGGGUGAGUAACACGUGGAUAACCUGCCCUUUAGUGGGGAAUACCGCUGGGAAACCGGCGACAAUACCGCAUAAGCUCGAGAGAGGAAAGCAGCAAUGCGCUGAAGGAGGGGUCCGCGGCCGAUUAGCUAGUUGGCAGGGUAAAAGCCUACCAAGGCUGUGAUCGGUAGCCGGCCUGAGAGGGCACACGGCCACACUGGCACUGAAACACGGGCCAGACUCCUACGGGAGGCAGCAGUGGGGAAUCUUGCACAAUGGGGGAAACCCUGAUGCAGCGACGCCGCGUGAGCGAUGAAGCCCUUCGGGGUGUAAAGCUCUUUCGGCAGGGACGAUUAUGACGGUACCUGCAGAAGCAGCUGCGGCUAACUACGUGCCAGCAGCCGCGGUAAUACGUAGGCAGCAAGCGUUGUUCGGAGUUACUGGGCGUAAAGGGUGCGUANGCGGCUUCUUAAGUCUGGUGUGAAAUCUCCCGGCUCAACUGGGAGGGUGCGCCGGAUACUGA
Molecule: ribosomal RNA, 564 nt
Filed under: uncultured bacterium
Lineage: Bacteria
Description: bacterial SSU rRNA
Rfam family: Bacterial small subunit ribosomal RNA
Source: RNAcentral